UACGAAAAAAGAGUAUUCGUACUCUUAAACCCUUUGUGAACCUUACCUAUCGUCAGUUGCUUCGGCGGGAGGCCCCUGGGAGGGGCCCCGGGGCCCGGCCUGAGCCGGGCUCCCGCCGGAGGAGCGCAAACCUAAACUCUUGCUGUACCUCAGUGGAACGUCCGAGUUAAAAACAAAAAAAACAAGUUAAAACUUUCAACAACGGAUCUCUUGGUUCUGGCAUCGAUGAAGAACGCAGCGAAAUGCGAUAAGUAAUGUGAAUUGCAGAAUUCAGUGAAUCAUCGAAUCUUUGAACGCACAUUGCGCCCGCCAGUAUUCUGGCGGGCAUGCCUGUUCGAGCGUCAUUUCAACCACUCAGGCCCUGGUGCCUGGCGUCGGGGCGUUUCCGCGAGAGGAAAGCCCCCAGAGACAGUGGCGGACCCGCCGCGGCUCCGAGCGCAGUAGUAAGAUAUCUCGCUCAGGAGGCCCGCGGGGGGAUUUUCCCGGCCGUAAAAACCCCUCUCCCCCGGAGAGGAUCUUCUCAAGGUUGACCUCGGAUCAGGUAGGAAUACCCGCUGAACUUAAGCAUAUCAAUAAGCGGAGGAAAAGAAACCAACAGGGAUUGCCCCAGUAACGGCGAGUGAAGCGGCAACAGCUCAGAUUUGAAAU
RNAcentral lists this ribosomal RNA (648 nucleotides) under fungal endophyte. Its description in RNAcentral is "eukaryotic LSU rRNA". The stretch from base 191 to 344 matches the Rfam family "5.8S ribosomal RNA". Lineage: Eukaryota; Fungi. The record is from RNAcentral.